AGUGAACGCUGGCGGUAGGCCUAACACAUGCAAGUCGAACGGCAGCACAGUAAGAGCUUGCUCUUACGGGUGGCGAGUGGCGGACGGGUGAGGAAUACAUCGGAAUCUACUUUUUCGUGGGGGAUAACGUAGGGAAACUUACGCUAAUACCGCAUACGACCUACGGGUGAAAGCAGGGGAUCUUCGGACCUUGCGCGAUUGAAUGAGCCGAUGUCGGAUUAGCUAGUUGGCGGGGUAAAGGCCCACCAAGGCGACGAUCCGUAGCUGGUCUGAGAGGAUGAUCAGACACACUGGAACUGAGACACGGUCCAGACCCCUACGGGAGGCAGCAGUGGGGAAUAUUGGACAAUGGGCGCAAGCCUGAUCCAGCCAUACCGCGUGGGUGAAGAAGGCCUUCGGGUUGUAAAGCCCUUUUGUUGGGAAAGAAAAGCAGCAGGUUAAUACCCCGCUGUUCUGACGGUACCCAAAGAAUAAGCACCGGCUAACUUCGUG
Molecule: ribosomal RNA, 492 nt
Filed under: uncultured bacterium
Lineage: Bacteria
Description: partial 16S ribosomal RNA
Rfam family: Bacterial small subunit ribosomal RNA
Source: RNAcentral